AGCGUACACGGUGGAUGCCCUGGCAGUCAGAGGCGAUGAAGGACGUGCUAAUCUGCGAUAAGCGUCGGUAAGGUGAUAUGAACCGUUAUAACCGGCGAUUUCCGAAUGGGGAAACCCAGUGUGAUUCGUCACACUAUCAUUAACUGAAUCCAUAGGUUAAUGAGGCGAACCGGGGGAACUGAAACAUCUAAGUACCCCGAGGAAAAGAAAUCAACCGAGAUUCCCCCAGUAGCGGCGAGCGAACGGGGAGCAGCCCAGAGCCUGAAUCAGUGUGUGUGUUAGUGGAAGCGUCUGGAAAGGCGCGCGAUACAGGGUGACAGCCCCGUACACAAAAAUGCACAUACUGUGAGCUCGAUGAGUAGGGCGGGACACGUGGUAUCCUGUCUGAAUAUGGGGGGACCAUCCUCCAAGGCUAAAUACUCCUGACUGACCGAUAGUGAACCAGUACCGUGAGGGAAAGGCGAAAAGAACCCCGGCGAGGGGAGUGAAAAAGAACCUGAAACCGUGUACGUACAAGCAGUGGGAGCACAGAGCAAUCUGUGUGACUGCGUACCUUUUGUAUAAUGGGUCAGCGACUUAUAUUCUGUAGCAAGGUUAACCGAAUAGGGGAGCCGAAGGGAAACCGAGUCUUAACUGGGCGUUAAGUUGCAGGGUAUAGACCCGAAACCCGGUGAUCUAGCCAUGGGCAGGUUGAAGGUUGGGUAACACUAACUGGAGGACCGAACCGACUAAUGUUGAAAAAUUAGCGGAUGACUUGUGGCUGGGGGUGAAAGGCCAAUCAAACCGGGAGAUAGCUGGUUCUCCCCGAAAGCUAUUUAGGUAGCGCCUCGUGAAUUCAUCUCCGGGGGUAGAGCACUGUUUCGGCAAGGGGGUCAUCCCGACUUACCAACCCGAUGCAAACUGCGAAUACCGGAGAAUGUUAUCACGGGAGACACACGGCGGGUGCUAACGUCCGUCGUGAAGAGGGAAACAACCCAGACCGCCAGCUAAGGUCCCAAAGUCAUGGUUAAGUGGGAAACGAUGUGGGAAGGCCCAGACAGCCAGGAUGUUGGCUUAGAAGCAGCCAUCAUUUAAAGAAAGCGUAAUAGCUCACUGGUCGAGUCGGCCUGCGCGGAAGAUGUAACGGGGCUAAACCAUGCACCGAAGCUGCGGCAGCGACGCUUAUGCGUUGUUGGGUAGGGGAGCGUUCUGUAAGCCUGCGAAGGUGUGCUGUGAGGCAUGCUGGAGGUAUCAGAAGUGCGAAUGCUGACAUAAGUAACGAUAAAGCGGGUGAAAAGCCCGCUCGCCGGAAGACCAAGGGUUCCUGUCCAACGUUAAUCGGGGCAGGGUGAGUCGACCCCUAAGGCGAGGCCGAAAGGCGUAGUCGAUGGGAAACAGGUUAAUAUUCCUGUACUUGGUGUUACUGCGAAGGGGGGACGGAGAAGGCUAUGUUGGCCGGGCGACGGUUGUCCCGGUUUAAGCGUGUAGGCUGGUUUUCCAGGCAAAUCCGGAAAAUCAAGGCUGAGGCGUGAUGACGAGGCACUACGGUGCUGAAGCAACAAAUGCCCUGCUUCCAGGAAAAGCCUCUAAGCAUCAGGUAACAUCAAAUCGUACCCCAAACCGACACAGGUGGUCAGGUAGAGAAUACCAAGGCGCUUGAGAGAACUCGGGUGAAGGAACUAGGCAAAAUGGUGCCGUAACUUCGGGAGAAGGCACGCUGAUAUGUAGGUGAAGUCCCUCGCGGAUGGAGCUGAAAUCAGUCGAAGAUACCAGCUGGCUGCAACUGUUUAUUAAAAACACAGCACUGUGCAAACACGAAAGUGGACGUAUACGGUGUGACGCCUGCCCGGUGCCGGAAGGUUAAUUGAUGGGGUUAGCGCAAGCGAAGCUCUUGAUCGAAGCCCCGGUAAACGGCGGCCGUAACUAUAACGGUCCUAAGGUAGCGAAAUUCCUUGUCGGGUAAGUUCCGACCUGCACGAAUGGCGUAAUGAUGGCCAGGCUGUCUCCACCCGAGACUCAGUGAAAUUGAACUCGCUGUGAAGAUGCAGUGUACCCGCGGCAAGACGGAAAGACCCCGUGAACCUUUACUAUAGCUUGACACUGAACAUUGAGCCUUGAUGUGUAGGAUAGGUGGGAGGCUUUGAAGUGUGGACGCCAGUCUGCAUGGAGCCGACCUUGAAAUACCACCCUUUAAUGUUUGAUGUUCUAACGUUGACCCGUAAUCCGGGUUGCGGACAGUGUCUGGUGGGUAGUUUGACUGGGGCGGUCUCCUCCUAAAGAGUAACGGAGGAGCACGAAGGUUGGCUAAUCCUGGUCGGACAUCAGGAGGUUAGUGCAAUGGCAUAAGCCAGCUUGACUGCGAGCGUGACGGCGCGAGCAGGUGCGAAAGCAGGUCAUAGUGAUCCGGUGGUUCUGAAUGGAAGGGCCAUCGCUCAACGGAUAAAAGGUACUCCGGGGAUAACAGGCUGAUACCGCCCAAGAGUUCAUAUCGACGGCGGUGUUUGGCACCUCGAUGUCGGCUCAUCACAUCCUGGGGCUGAAGUAGGUCCCAAGGGUAUGGCUGUUCGCCAUUUAAAGUGGUACGCGAGCUGGGUUUAGAACGUCGUGAGACAGUUCGGUCCCUAUCUGCCGUGGGCGCUGGAGAAUUGAGGGGGGCUGCUCCUAGUACGAGAGGACCGGAGUGGACGCAUCACUGGUGUUCGGGUUGUCAUGCCAAUGGCACUGCCCGGUAGCUAAAUGCGGAAGAGAUAAGUGCUGAAAGCAUCUAAGCACGAAACUUGCCCCGAGAUGAGUUCUCCCUGACUCCUUGA
RNAcentral lists this ribosomal RNA (2789 nucleotides) under Escherichia coli. RNAcentral's name for it is "bacterial LSU rRNA". It matches the Rfam family "Bacterial large subunit ribosomal RNA". The record is from RNAcentral. Lineage: Bacteria; Pseudomonadati; Pseudomonadota; Gammaproteobacteria; Enterobacterales; Enterobacteriaceae.